CGCCGCGGUAAAACCAGCACCUCAAGUGGUCAGGAUGAUUAUUGGGCCUAAAGCAUCCGUAGCCUGUUCUGUAAGUUUUCGGUUAAAUCCAUAAGCUCAACUUAUGGGCUGCCGAAAAUACUGCAGAACUAGGGAGUGGGAGAGGUAGACGGUACUCGGUAGGAAGGGGUAAAAUCCUUUGAUCUAUUGAUGACCACCUGUGGCGAAGGCGGUCUACCAGAACACGUUCGACGGUGAGGGAUGAAAGCUGGGGGAGCAAACCGGAUUAGAUACCCGGGUAGUCCCAGCUGUAAACGAUGCAAACUCGAUGAUGCGUUGGCUUGUUGCUAGCGCAGUGUCGCAGGGAAGCCGUUAAGUUUGCCGCCUGGGAAGUACGUACGCAAGUAUGAAACUUAAAGGAAUUGGCGGGGGAGCACCACAAGGGGUGAAGCCUGCGGUUCAAUUGGAGUCAACGCCUGAAACCUUACCCGGAGAGACAGCAGAAUGAAGGUCAAGCUGAAGACUUUACCAGACAAGCUGAGAGGUGGUGCAUGGCCGUCGCCAGCUCGUGCCGUGAGAUGUCCUGUUAAGUCAGGUAACGAGCGAGAUCCCUGCCUCUAGUUGCCACUAUUACACCCUGGUGUAGUAGGGCGAAUUAGGGGGACCGCCGCAGUUAAUGCGGAGGAAGGAAGGGGCCACGGCAGGUCAGUAUGCCCCGAAACUCUGGGGCCACACGCGGGCUGCAAUGGUAACGACAAUGAGUUCCAAAAUCGAAAGAUAGAGGUAAUCCCUAAACGUUACCACAGUUGUGAUUGAGGGCUGCAACUCGCCCUCAUGAACAUGGAAUCCCUAGUAACCGCGUGUCAUUAUCGCGCAGUGAAUACGUCCCUGCUCCUUGCACACACCGCCCGUCGUUUCAUUGAAGUUUGCCUUUAGCGAGGUGAUGUCUAAUUGGCAUUAUCGAACUUGGGGUAAGUGACAAGGGAAAAGUCGUAACAAGGUGACCGUAGGGGAACCUGCGGUCG
This 1004-nucleotide ribosomal RNA is filed under the name marine metagenome. RNAcentral's name for it is "bacterial SSU rRNA". It matches the Rfam family "Archaeal small subunit ribosomal RNA", at positions 463 to 1467 of the family's 1478-position model. The record is from RNAcentral.